This 423-nucleotide ribosomal RNA is filed under the name uncultured bacterium. RNAcentral's name for it is "bacterial SSU rRNA". It matches the Rfam family "Bacterial small subunit ribosomal RNA", at positions 358 to 773 of the family's 1533-position model. The record is from RNAcentral.
GGAAUAUUGGACAAUGGGCGCAAGCCUGAUCCAGCCAUGCCGCGUGUGUGAAGAAGGCCUUCGGGUUGUAAAGCACUUUCAGCGAGGAGGAAGGGUGUUGUGUUAAUAGCACAGCACUUUGACGUUACUCGCAGAAGAAGCACCGGCUAACUCCGCUCCAGCAGCCGCGGUAAUACGGAGGGGGCAAGCGUUGUUCGGAAUUACUGGGCGUAAAGGGCGCGUAGGCGGAACAUCAAGUUAGGGGUGAAAGGCCCGGGCUCAACCUGGGAACGGCCUCUAAAACUGAUGAUCUUGAGUCCGGAAGAGGAUGGCGGAAUUCCCAGUGUAGAGGUGAAAUUCGUAGAUAUUGGGAAGAACACCGGUGGCGAAGGCGGCCAUCUGGUCCGGAACUGACGCUGAGGCGCGAAAGCGUGGGGAGCAAAC